GCCAGGCAUGGUAGCACAUGUCUGUAAUCCCAGAUACUUGGGAGGCUGAGGCAGGAAGGUCAUGAGUUUGAGACCAGCCUCAGCAAUGUGGAGAGACCCUCAAGAACUUAAUGAAACCCUCUCUCAA
Molecule: small RNA, 127 nt
Filed under: Marmota monax (woodchuck)
Lineage: Eukaryota; Metazoa; Chordata; Mammalia; Rodentia; Sciuridae
Source: RNAcentral